Molecule: ribosomal RNA, 427 nt
Filed under: uncultured bacterium
Lineage: Bacteria
Description: partial 16S ribosomal RNA
Rfam family: Bacterial small subunit ribosomal RNA
Source: RNAcentral
UGGGGAAUAUUGCACAAUGGGCGCAAGCCUGAUGCAGCCAUGCCGCGUGUAUGAGGAAGGCCUUCGGGUUGUAAAGUACUUUCAGCGAGGAGGAAGGCGUUGUGGUUAAUAACCGCAACGAUUGACGUUACUCGCAGAAGAAGCACCGGCUAACUCCGUGCCAGCAGCCGCGGUAAUACGGAGGGUGCAAGCGUUAAUCGGAAUUACUGGGCGUAAAGCGCACGCAGGCGGUCUGUCAAGUCGGAUGUGAAAUCCCCGGGCUCAACCUGGGAACUGCAUCCGAAACUGGCAGGCUAGAGUCUUGUAGAGGGGGGUAGAAUUCCAGGUGUAGCGGUGAAAUGCGUAGAGAUCUGGAGGAAUACCGGUGGCGAAGGCGGCCCCCUGGACAAAGACUGACGCUCAGGUGCGAAAGCGUGGGGAGCAAACA